GGGAUGUAGCUCAGAUGGGAGAGCGCCUGCCUUGCAAGCAGGAGGUUGCCGGUUCGAUUCCGACCAUCUCC
This 71-nucleotide transfer RNA is filed under the name bovine gut metagenome. It matches the Rfam family "tRNA". Rfam says of the family: Transfer RNA (tRNA) molecules are approximately 80 nucleotides in length. Their secondary structure includes four short double-helical elements and three loops (D, anti-codon, and T loops). The record is from RNAcentral.